RNAcentral lists this ribosomal RNA (775 nucleotides) under uncultured Neocallimastigales. Its description in RNAcentral is "partial large subunit ribosomal RNA". It matches the Rfam family "Eukaryotic large subunit ribosomal RNA", at positions 23 to 620 of the family's 3401-position model. The record is from RNAcentral. Lineage: Eukaryota; Fungi; Neocallimastigomycota; Neocallimastigomycetes; Neocallimastigales.
AGAGAGAGACAUGCGCGCAUAUCAAUAAGCGGAGGAAAAGAAACUAACAAGGAUUCCCUUAGUAACGGCGAGUGAAGCGGGAAGAGCUCAAAUUUGAAAUCUUCAAGGUUUUACCUUGACGAAUUGUAGUUUAAAGAAGUGUUUUCUGCUGAAGUUUUGGUAAAAGUUCUUUGGAAUAGGACAUCAUAGAGGGUGAGAAUCCCGUAUUUGACCAUUAUUUUCAGCUUUGUGAUACACUUUCGAAGAGUCGGAUUGUUUGGGAAUGCAGUCCAAAAUGGGUGGUAAAUUUCAUCUAAAGCUAAAUAUUGGCGAGAGACCGAUAGCGAACAAGUACCGUGAGGGAAAGAUGAAAAGAACUUUGAAAAGAGAGUUAAACAGUACGUGAAAUUGUCAAAAGGGAAGCGUUUGACAUCCAGUGUUGUUUUCUCGAAAAUCAAUUAAAAAUGGCUCGAUUUUGUAUUGUUGAGACCUUAAAAGCUCACUGUACAUUUUUCGUGUCUUUUUUAAUGCACUUUUCGUUUAACAAGUCAACAUCAGUUUCUUUUGUUGUAAAAGGGUCAUUGGAAGGUGGCUUUCUUUUCGGAGAAAGUGUUUAUAGCCUUUGGCCUCUGCAAUCGGAGAGACUGAGGUCUGCAGCGUAGACUCUUCGGGGUUAGAUACAUUUGUGCUAAGUUAUAGCUUUUUAUAGACAACUUGUUGACUAUAAUUAGUCUUGUAGCUUACUCGCUUAUGCUAUUUUACCUACGCUUAGGAUGUUGAAGAUGUAGCACAUCAU